RNAcentral lists this ribosomal RNA (389 nucleotides) under uncultured bacterium. Its description in RNAcentral is "bacterial SSU rRNA". It matches the Rfam family "Bacterial small subunit ribosomal RNA", at positions 30 to 417 of the family's 1533-position model. The record is from RNAcentral.
AUUGAACGCUGGCGGCAUGCUUUACACAUGCAAGUCGAACGGCAGCACGGGUGCUUGCACCUGGUGGCGAGUGGCGGACGGGUGAGUAAUGCAUCGGAACGUGUCCUAAAGUGGGGGAUAACGCAUCGAAAGAUGUGCUAACACCGCAUAUUCUCUGAGGAGGAAAGUAGGGGAUCGAAAGACCUUAUGCUUUUGGAGCGGCCGGUGUCUGAUUAGCUAGUUGGUAGGGUAAUGGCUUACCAAGGCGACGAUCAGUAGUUGGUCUGAGAGGACGACCAGCCACACUGGGACUGAGACACGGCCCAGACUCCUACGGGAGGCAGCAGUGGGGAAUUUUGGACAAUGGGCGCAAGCCUGAUCCAGCAAUGCCGCGUGAGUGAAGAAGGCCU